Molecule: ribosomal RNA, 253 nt
Filed under: uncultured bacterium
Lineage: Bacteria
Description: partial 16S ribosomal RNA
Rfam family: Bacterial small subunit ribosomal RNA
Source: RNAcentral
GACGUAGGUGGCGAACGUUAUCCGGAAUUACUGGGCGUAAAGGGCGCGUAGGCGGUUCGUUAAGUCCUGUGUGAAAUCCCCCGGCUCAACUGGGGAACUGCACAGGAAACUAGCGGGCUUGAGUUCGGGAGAGGGAAGCGGAAUUCCGGGUGUAGCGGUGAAAUGCGUAGAUAUCCGGAGGAACACCGGUGGCGAAGGCGGCUUCCUGGACCGACACUGACGCUGAGGCGCGAAAGCUAGGGGAGCAAACGGG